This 508-nucleotide ribosomal RNA is filed under the name uncultured bacterium. RNAcentral describes it as "partial 16S ribosomal RNA". It matches the Rfam family "Bacterial small subunit ribosomal RNA", at positions 899 to 1397 of the family's 1533-position model. The record is from RNAcentral.
ACUCAAAGGAAUAGACGGGGGCCUGCACAAGCGGUGGAGUAUGUGGCUCAAUUCGAUGCAACGCGAAGAACCUUACCUGGCCUUGACAUGCACGUAGUAGGAGGAUGAAAGUCCGACGAGGUAGCAAUACCAGCGUGCACAGGUGCUGCAUGGCUGUCGUCAGCUCGUGUCGUGAGAUGUUGGGUUAAGUCCCGCAACGAGCGCAACCCUUGUGUCCUGUUGCCACCUGGUCGAAAGACCGGAGCACUCUGGACAGACUGCCUCGCUUAAACGAGGAGGAAGGUGGGGAUGACGUCAAGUCAGUAUGGCCCUUACGGCCAGGGCUGCACACGUACUACAAUGGCUGGCACAAAGGGAAGCAAGACCGUCAGGUGGAGCAAAUCCCCAAAAACCAGCCCCAGUUCAGAUUGUCGUCUGCAACUCGACGGCAUGAAGUUGGAAUCGCUAGUAAUGGCGCAUCAGCUACGGCGCCGUGAAUACGUUCCCAGGCCUUGUACACACCGCCCGU